RNAcentral lists this ribosomal RNA (440 nucleotides) under uncultured bacterium. Its description in RNAcentral is "partial 16S ribosomal RNA". It matches the Rfam family "Bacterial small subunit ribosomal RNA", at positions 338 to 795 of the family's 1533-position model. The record is from RNAcentral.
CCUACGGGUGGCAGCAGUGGGGGAUAUUGCACAAUGGGGGAAACCCUGAUGCAGCGACGCCGCGUGGGUGAAGAAGCGCCUCGGCGCGUAAAGCCCUGUCAGCAGGGAAGAAAAUGACGGUACCUGAAGAAGAAGCCCCGGCUAACUACGUGCCAGCAGCCGCGGUAAUACGUAGGGGGCAAGCGUUAUCCGGAUUUACUGGGUGUAAAGGGGGCGCAGACGGGGAUGCAAUCCGGGAGUGAAAGCCCGGGGCCCAACCCCGGGACUGCUCGUGGAACUGCGUGGCUAGAGUGCAGGAGGGGCAGGCGGAAUUCCUGGUGUAGCGGUGAAAUGCGUAGAUAUCAGGAGGAACACCGGUGGCGAAGGCGGCCUGCUGGACUGCAACUGACGUUGAGGCCCGAAAGCGUGGGGAGCAAACAGGAUUAGAUACCCCAGUAGUC